CUUAUUUUUUAUCUAAUAUAAUUUCUGCUCAAUGAAGAAAUUUUAAUAGCCACUAUAGUGCUAAGGUAGCAUAAUAAUUUGUUUUUUAAUUGAAAAAUUGAAUGAAUGAAUACACUAGAAAUUAAUUGUUUAAUUUUAUUAAAUGUAAUUUUAAUUUGAAUGAAAAAUUUCAAAUUUUUCUUUAAGGCGAUAAGACCCUAUGAACCUUUAUUUUUUUAAAAAAAAAAAAUAAAAAAUUUAUUUGGGGAAAAUUAAAAUAAAAUUAUUUUAAUAAAAAUUGAUCUUUACAAAACUAAAUGAAAAAGGUACCCUAGGGAUAACAGCGUUAUAGUUAUUAAAGCCCAUAUUUAAGUAACUGU
This 359-nucleotide ribosomal RNA is filed under the name Acartia tonsa. RNAcentral's name for it is "partial 16S ribosomal RNA". The record is from RNAcentral. Lineage: Eukaryota; Metazoa; Arthropoda; Copepoda; Calanoida; Acartiidae.